AGUGAACGCUGGCGGUAGGCCUAACACAUGCAAGUCGAACGGCAGCACAGUAAGAGCGUGCUCUUACGGGUGGCGAGUGGCGGACGGGUGAGGAAUACAUCGGAAUCUACUUUUUCGGGGGGGAUAACGUAGGGAAACUUACGCUAAUACAGCAUACGACCUACGGGGGAAAGCAGGGGAUCUUCGGAGCUGGCGGGGUUGAAUGAGCCGCUGUCGGAUUAGCUAGUGGGGGGGGGAAAGGCCAAGCAAGGCGCCGAUACGUAGCCGGUCUGAGAGGAUGGUAGCCCACCCUGGAACUGAACCACCGUCCAGACUCCUGCGGUAGGCAGCAGUGUGCAAUAUUGGACAAUGGUCGCAAGCCUUAUCCAGCCAUACCGCGUCUGUUAAGACGGCCUUCCGGUUGUAAAGCCCUUUUGUUGGUAAAGAACAGCAUCAGCUUAAUACCCCGCUGUUCUGACGGUACCCAAAGAAUAAGCACCGGCUAACUUCGUG
Molecule: ribosomal RNA, 492 nt
Filed under: uncultured bacterium
Lineage: Bacteria
Description: partial 16S ribosomal RNA
Rfam family: Bacterial small subunit ribosomal RNA
Source: RNAcentral